RNAcentral lists this long non-coding RNA (275 nucleotides) under Gallus gallus (chicken). Lineage: Eukaryota; Metazoa; Chordata; Aves; Galliformes; Phasianidae. The record is from RNAcentral.
GGAAACUGCCAGGGGUGUUGAUGCAGAGGUGGUCGCAGGUCCGGUCAAAGGAGCACUCGUCGAUAUCUUGGCAGUUCCUCUCGUUGAUGAGCAGUUUGUAGCCCUUCUUGCAGCUGCACUCGAAGCUGCCCACCGUGUUCCUGCAGAUGUGGUCGCAGCCGCCGUUGUUGAGCCGGCACUCGUCGAUGUCUUUGCAGGUCUUUCUGUCGGGCUGCAGCAUGAAGCCCAUGGGGCAGCUGCAGUGCACGCCGGUGGCCGCGUCGUGACACUUGCUG